GUUCCUGUAGUUAAAUUUUUAUAACAGCGGUUUUUCAGAUCGUAAAUCUUGGGGAGGAUCCAGGCAGGAACU
This 72-nucleotide transfer RNA is filed under the name Urocissa erythroryncha (blue magpie). RNAcentral's name for it is "tRNA-Glu". Lineage: Eukaryota; Metazoa; Chordata; Aves; Passeriformes; Corvidae. The record is from RNAcentral. RNAcentral also lists the same sequence under 1 other name.